UACACAUUUUAAUCAUACAAUAAAUUAACUGCGGGAAGAGUAAAUGUUACUCCCCAAUUUCUCAUACUGUUUACAUGUUUUAUAAUGACUGAACAUAAACUGAAAAAGGUAAGUACAUUUUAAUUAAUCUAAACAUCUAUCGCGUUUGAAUCAAUCGACGCGCGCAAUUCGCAUUCAAGGCGGCAACGCGACGAGACGAGACGUUGGAGGAGACGUUGGACGAGACGUUGGAGGAGAGCUUCAUGCCAGAACAAAACCAAAGCAUUGGGAUGAAACGAGAAACUAUUAUCACAGCCUUAUCCUGUACCUUGGUGAGAAAGAGGAGGCGUUAUUUGAAGACUGCCUGGUGGACAGCCGCAGUGAUGCAUCUCAACACAUCGUGAGGAUCGUGGUUGUCCGUGGCACCGAUGGAGAAGAUCCCGUUGACGUAUCGAUCCUCCUUGAAGGCAAGGAGAUGUUGGCGGGAUGCGAUUUAUUUACUAAAAGACUGGUUUUAAGCAUCGUACAAGGGUUAUUGGCACGGUGACAAUUUUCUCUUGUGAAUGUUUUGGAGGGGAUUCCCCCCACGACCUCAAAGUCUUACAUUUAGGUAAGAUAUAAUAGAUGUAAUAUAAAGCAGGAGGGUUAUAUCUGAGAGACAAUUGGGAGGUCAAGGGUCAGUCUGCAGAGUAUGCGUGCAUGUGUAUAUGUGUGUGUGUGUCUCUGCCUGUGUGUGUGUGUCAGAGUGUGUGUCUGUGUGUCUCUGCCUGUGUGUGUGUACGUAUGUGAGUGUCUAUGUAUUUCUGUCAGUGUGUGUGUGUGUAUGCCUUUUAUAUUGUAUUGUUUGAAUAAAUAUAGACGUUUUAUACUACUUACGCUUAACAGAUAAAUCUGACAUUUAUUUUGAAAGGUUAAAAGGAAGUGCACUUUGUUUUAGGUUAAAAUGCGAACUUUAUGGUGUAGAUUACGGACAGAUGCGCAUUUUAUAACAAGUUUAAUAGUUGAUUUGACCCGUAUGGGACUGACUCUGUUAAGGUGGUGAUGAGGUGGUGAUAGUUUACGAGUUUUAAUAAAUGUAUUGUCACCUAAAGAAAGAAAAUAAAGGAGAGUCACCAGCAGUAAGUCUUCACGCCAAUUCAUAUGAUCCGUUACAACGCUUAUUGCUGUCAUAAUACGCAGGCGAAACAUAUAAAAUAAUAAUAAAUAAGACUAGAGGACGCUUUUUCCAAUUCAUAACAGAAUUGUAGAAUAGAGAGAUAACAAACGGCAAAGAUACGUUGAUCAGAGACGUAUUUGUAAUACGUCAAAUACAAACGUAAUCUGGAGAGAAAUACGUUUCAGUCAAACGUAACUGCAAAUUGAAUUUUAGGUCUGGGGGAACGUAAUUUUUGUGAUGCAGGGUUGCAUAAAUGUACACAGACUGUAAAUGUUCAGCAGCUGUUUCAACAUGCAUGUUGGUGUUGUGUCAAGUUAGGCACCAGUUCUGUCACUUGAUUGCAGAUUAAAACAAAUGUUUAUAUUUGUAUUUUAUUUUUCUUUAUUAUCCUAAGUGUGAAUUUCUUGACACUGAAUUUUUAUUUAAGAAAAACAAGAGUUUUUAUAAAAUUGAAUUAUUUGCUGACAAAAUAAAUAUUUUGAAUUGCA
This is a long non-coding RNA of Pseudoliparis swirei, 1623 nucleotides long. RefSeq lists it as uncharacterized. Lineage: Eukaryota; Metazoa; Chordata; Actinopteri; Perciformes; Liparidae. The transcript is spliced from 3 exons. The record is from RefSeq and is a predicted model, not a curated record.